Small nuclear RNA from Cebus imitator (Panamanian white-faced capuchin), 141 nucleotides. Its record names the gene U4. It matches the Rfam family "U4 spliceosomal RNA". Rfam says of the family: U4 small nuclear RNA (U4 snRNA) is a component of the major U2-dependent spliceosome. NCBI's taxonomy places the organism in Eukaryota, Metazoa, Chordata, Mammalia, Primates, Cebidae. The record is from Ensembl.
AGCUUUGCACAGUGGCAGUAUUGCAGUCAAUGAGGUUUAUCUGAGGCGCGAUUGUUGCUAAUUGAAAACUUUUCCCAAUACCGCGCCAUGACGAUUGGAAAUAUAGUUGGCAUCAGCAAUUUUUGGCAGUCUCCACGGGGA